UCAGAUCCAUUAAAUUUAAUCAUUUAACUCAUUGCUAUAACUGUGAAAAACCCAAUAAUUAAUUGUAAUUUUAUCGUCAGCCGGCAUGCAAUUCGAAUACAGUAAUUUUUACUGUAUCUUUUUUUUACGUUUUUUCGUCUAAAAUUAUGUUAAUUAAGAAAACGCACCCAUUCGAUCAGUACGUAACUAUUCGGUCGAUAUGUCCAUAUGCAGAUACGUAGUUCUGUUAAAACUUUAUGAAAAAAAAAAAAAAAAAAAUAGCAAAAUAACGUUUAAGUCACCACUCAGGAAUUACAGUCUGGAAUUAUAAUAUUGUAACAGUGACAUAUUGUGUUCCGAUUCUAAAAAAUGAAUUGUGAAUUUUUUAUUUUUUGACGAUUUAUAAUCAGGUAGGUAGGUAGGUAGUUGUACCGACACUGAAGUUUGAAAAAAACUAUUAUUCAUUAGAAAAUGUAAUAAAUAAUACAUCACUUCCUACAUUAUUAUAAUGAUGCAUGCCCGUUGUCAAUUUCACGAUUUUUUUUUUUUUUUACGACUCCGUAAUACAUCUUGAACCUAUCGCACCUAACCCCGUCGUACCUGCAUGGUUUUAUUUUGUACCGUGACGCGUUUAAAACAUUAUUGCACGAUGCCGCGAGGCUUUUUCCAUUCUAAACAAUGUACGUUUAUCUAGCGAGUUAUGUUUUCUUUUGCACAGAGACAAUUUUCAAUCGACUUAAUGUACGUAAAAAAAAUCGAAACAUACGCGCCUAAAUGAUUAUGCCCACCCGAAAACGCAGGUACCGCCAACCCGUAUGCAUACGUUCCGUAUGACUUUAUAAAAUACAGGCGUAAACCUAUCGAUUAUCCGCAGGUAAAGUUCAAUAAGUCGGCGAAAAACAAUGUAAUUUCGCCGUAGCUCGGGGCGGUUAAAAGUGAUACGUGUAAUUAUGUAAUUAUAAUACAGUUCUGUUUUUUAAUAAUAGGCUAUGAGUUUCGUUGGAAAAAAAAAAUACAUAUAUUUUGGGUGGGUAAAACGAAUACUGUAUAUUAAUACUGAUCUCCGUGUUUAACAGUUUAAUAUUUUAUAUUUUAUUUUACGAAUAAGAUUUGUUUGAAUUUUAGAGAAAAAAAAAAGCAAGUCAAGACAGUCCGACAGUCCGUAUUACGCGAGCGUGCAAAGUUCCCGGCUUCUAAACGCGUUUUAAAACUUAUACAAUUCGAUACGCUGGUACCAUUUUAAAAGAACUCGGUAACCCAUUAGAAUGUUUUGCGUUUGUGAAACUUGUUUGAAUUGAACAGGCACCGUGAUUUUUU
Non-coding RNA from Cinara cedri, 1296 nucleotides. The record is from the annotation of a GenBank genome assembly. NCBI's taxonomy places the organism in Eukaryota, Metazoa, Arthropoda, Insecta, Hemiptera, Aphididae.